AUAGUGUGCUAUUCAUUUGACCCAAAAACCCCCACCAAAUCAUGCAAUUCAAGAGGUUCAAUCUUCAUGUUCACCUGAAGAACACUUGUGAAACCAUCCUGGCCAUUAAGGGUAUGCAUAUCCAGAAAGCUACCAAGUAUCUGAAGGAUGUCACUUUAAAGAAGCAAUGUGUACCAUUUCAUCAUUACAGUGGUGCAGUUGAUAGGUAAGCCAAGGCUAAACUGGUGCUGGAUAAAGGGCUGGUGGCCCAAAGAGUGCUGAAUUUUUACUGCACGUGCUCAAAAAUGCAGACAGUAAUGCUGAAUUUAAGGGCUUAGAUAUCGAUUCUCUGGGCACUGGGCACAUCCUGGUGAACAAAGCUCUCGAGAUGCACCGCAGGACUUACAGAGCUCAUGGUCGGAUCAGUCCCUACAUGAGCUCUCCCUGCCACAUUGAGACUUUCCUUAGUGAAAAAGAACAGAUUGUUCCUAAACCGGAGGAGGUUGAACAGAAGAAAAAGAUACCCCAGAAGAAACUGGAGAAGGAAAAAAUGCCACAAAGAAUA
Molecule: long non-coding RNA, 544 nt
Filed under: Bos taurus (domestic cattle)
Lineage: Eukaryota; Metazoa; Chordata; Mammalia; Artiodactyla; Bovidae
Description: long non-coding RNA NONBTAT020061
Source: RNAcentral